CUAACUACGUGCCAGCAGCCGCGGUAAUACGUAGGGUGCGAGCGUUAAUCGGAAUUACUGGGCGUAAAGCGUGCGCAGGCGGUUUUGUAAGCCAGAUGUGAAAUCCCCGAGCUCAACUUGGGAACUGCAUUUGAGACUGCAAGGCUAGAGUACGGGAGAGGGGGGUGGAAUUCCCCGUGU
This 180-nucleotide ribosomal RNA is filed under the name uncultured beta proteobacterium. RNAcentral's name for it is "partial 16S ribosomal RNA". It matches the Rfam family "Bacterial small subunit ribosomal RNA", at positions 497 to 676 of the family's 1533-position model. The record is from RNAcentral. Lineage: Bacteria; Pseudomonadati; Pseudomonadota; Betaproteobacteria.